UAACUAUUAAGUUAUAUAAAACUUUGUAAUAAUUGAAUGAAUACAAGUAAGGCGGGAAAAAAUUACACUUAUUGCAAGUGCUACUUUAUUUCUUAAUUUCAAAUUGAAAAAGUAGAAAAUGAAAUGUUUACUUUUUUUCUAACAAGUAAACUAGUAAAGUAGUAAUUUCAAAUGUUUUGCAUCGCCCAUAAUCAAUAUGAACCUAUUGACCUUCUUCUGGGAGUUAAAUUCGAAUGGGUUUCCAUGGGUUAAUAUAUCUCCAAGUUCCUCGUCUUCUGGACUAUCAACAUCUUCCUNNN
RNAcentral lists this long non-coding RNA (299 nucleotides) under Nicotiana benthamiana. RNAcentral describes it as "long non-coding RNA (NBEN_LNC029539)". The record is from RNAcentral. Lineage: Eukaryota; Viridiplantae; Streptophyta; Magnoliopsida; Solanales; Solanaceae.